Molecule: long non-coding RNA, 2092 nt
Filed under: Calidris pugnax (ruff)
Lineage: Eukaryota; Metazoa; Chordata; Aves; Charadriiformes; Scolopacidae
Description: lncRNA (ENSCPUG00000004039.1)
Source: RNAcentral
AUUUGGGGAGCAGACAGUCCCAAUACCUCUCCCUAGGGAAGGAGGGUUCCAAGAUAAGGGGUUAAUUCUCAGAGGGAAAGCGGGCUGCUAAAGGGCAACCCGAGGGCUCUGCUCUGACCUGGGGUUUGGUUAAUCUCAACAGCUCACCCUGGACGUGGGCUCUGAGAUGCUGCCGAGCUCCCAGACCCAGAGACAGCGUGCACCGUGGCGAUCGUUUCAGAGAAAACCCAAUUUAUUUAGCUUGUAGUGAAGCGUAAGAUUAAACAUGCAGCAGGCUGCUUAUUGCUUAAGGGAGACUCCUGUUCCCCUGCGCUGGGAGCUCUCUUAUUGCUUCCUUUUGUAGGAAUGUGGGUUCUGGCUGAAUCUUCUCCGCUGCCCUUGGGGUCAACUGUGAGACCCUCCCCUCACACAGACGUGUUGUGUGAACACCAGGGAGAGACAAAUAAAUGACCGUUUGGUCAAAUUGGCAGUUCUUCAGAGCGGUGUCUGUACAACCCUGAAAGCCCGGGCUUUCCGAAUGCUGCUGCAAUACAAAUAAUUGCCUUGAUAUGAACUGGCACAUGCUGUGCCCUGGGUCGGCGGGUGGCUUUGUUGGGUGAAAAGGAAUGUGCACUUCAGUGGAAAAGGGUGUUCUGUGCUCUCACAAGCCAGGGGUUUGUAUCAGCAGUGAGGUCUAAAAGCACAGAGAAACAGCAACUGGUGAGAAUUGCUGGCAAAGAAAAUCCAGAAUCCAUCCAGGUGGGGAUGUCUGCUGUGUUUUCACCCGUUGUGUUUGCUUUGGAAGGAGCAGGGGUAAACCAUGCUGGCCGGAAUGGGACAGCCUGGGUGGGAGCCCGCAGCUCAGGAGGUGUCAGAGGAGAUGUGUGAGCAGCACUACCUCCCCCUUUCCUCACUGCUCCAGGAGAUCCUGAAGUCUGGGAGAAAGAGCAGAGCUGGUUUUGGUCUGGUUUUUUUCUCCUCAGAGCCAAACACUCUCUGAAAUGCUAUGGAUGGUCCAUCCCGAGGUCAGACUCCAGCCUGGCCAGCAGCACGAGUGGUGGGUGGCUGCACGGCUCUGCUUGAGCACAGCACCAGUACAACAGGGCAGCCCCGUUCCUUGGCAGCAGAAGACAGCAGUGAAGACUUGUGCCUGCAGAGAAAACAAGGCAAAGCUCCCGUGGUGGACUCAGGAUGAUGAAUGCACAGAGCCCCUCGAGGAGCCGGCUAACCAGGAGAAAGUCGAGAUCAAAGAUAAGCCUCCUAAUCCGAUAGCAGCAAAUGCAAUCAGACUCUCCAUCUGCCAUCAAAGGCCCUCGCAACCCCACGACUGGGAGCCAGCCCCCCGCCUCCUGCCUGCACAGAUGCCUGCUCACCGCCGAGCCUCCCCGUGCCUCUCACCACAUCCAGCCUGGUGUCACCUCAGAUUAGUGGGCUUCUGGCUCAAAGCCUGUGCCUCCUUUCGGAUGAGAGGUAGGGCAUGAAGAUAUUGCGUGAAUUCUUGAUGGCAUCUGAGCACAGAGCUGAGAUUUGCAGGCUGUGGUGUGCAGCAUCGCCUUUCCUACGAGCCAACCUGUCCUGCCCUCCUGCUCCUUGGGUUGGUCAUCACAGAAUCCCAGACUGCCUGAGGCUGGCAGGGACCUUGGGAGGUCGUUUGGUCCAACCCCCUGCUCAAGCAGGGCCACCCACAGCAGGUUGCCCAGGAUUAUGGUCAGUUGACUUUUGGAUAUCUUCAAGGAUGGAGACCCCACCACCUCUCUCAUCUUCAGGUGAUCAGUGUAGCCUAUGGCUGACUCCAUGAACAACAUGACAAUCCUGCUUGGAGGGCUGUCCCACCCUUUGUGGCCAAGCUGCAGAGGCUUUGUCUCUGUUGGUGGCCCUCAUUUGUCUUGGUGGUUGUGAUGGAGCAGUACUGGGAUGGCUUACUGGAGAUCUGUCACCAGUGCACCAAGUCUACAGCCACCCAGGCACGUUUCCAUCUGUUCCAACCACAUCACACUUUUCCCACCAGCUACAUAUUGAGGUUUGGGGACCCACUAACGAUUCCUGCUUUACUUUUCUUCUUUCUCUAUUCUUAUUUCCUUUGAAAUAUUAAUUAUUCAGAAUGAAAAUCUGU